UCUACGGGAGGCUGCAGUGGGGAAUAUUGGACAAUGGGGGGAACCCUGAUCCAGCCAUGCCGCGUGUGUGAAGAAGGCCCUCGGGUUGUAAAGCACUUUCAGUGAGGAAGAACGCCUGGUGGUUAAUACCCAUCAGGAAAGACAUCACUCACAGAAGAAGCACCGGCUAACUCCGUGCCAGCAGCCGCGGUAAUACGGAGGGUGCGAGCGUUAAUCGGAAUUACUGGGCGUAAAGCGCGCGUAGGUGGCUUGAUAAGCCGGUUGUGAAAGCCCCGGGCUCAACCUGGGAACGACAUCCGGAACUGUCAAGCUAGAGUGCAGGAGAGGAAGGUAGAAUUCCCGGUGUGGCGGUGAAAUGCGUAGAGAUCGGGAGGAAUACCAGUGGCGAAGGCGGCCUUCUGGACUGACACUGACACUGAGGUGCGAAAGCGUGGGUAGCAAACAGGAUUAGAUACCCGUGUAGUC
Molecule: ribosomal RNA, 465 nt
Filed under: Vreelandella stevensii
Lineage: Bacteria; Pseudomonadati; Pseudomonadota; Gammaproteobacteria; Oceanospirillales; Halomonadaceae
Description: partial 16S ribosomal RNA
Rfam family: Bacterial small subunit ribosomal RNA
Source: RNAcentral